UUGGUCUAGUAGUAUGAUUCUCGCUUCGGAUGCGAGAAGUUGCGAGUUCGAUUCUUGCA
This 59-nucleotide transfer RNA is filed under the name Nelumbo nucifera (sacred lotus). It matches the Rfam family "tRNA", at positions 7 to 64 of the family's 71-position model. From Rfam's summary of the family: Transfer RNA (tRNA) molecules are approximately 80 nucleotides in length. Their secondary structure includes four short double-helical elements and three loops (D, anti-codon, and T loops). The record is from Rfam by way of RNAcentral. Lineage: Eukaryota; Viridiplantae; Streptophyta; Magnoliopsida; Proteales; Nelumbonaceae.